RNAcentral lists this non-coding RNA (198 nucleotides) under Eubacterium sp. Lineage: Bacteria; Bacillati; Bacillota; Clostridia; Eubacteriales; Eubacteriaceae. The record is from RNAcentral.
AACGAAAUAAUCACUGUAAGCGAAGUACGAUAAGUAUUUCAGGGAAUCAGGUGUGAAUCCUGAACAGUUCCGCUGCUGUAUACAGGGAGGCGAUAUCCAUAUAUGCCACUGGAAUAAGCUUUAUAUAAGCUGUUCUGGGAAGGCGGAUAUUGCUUAUGAUCUGUGAGUCAGAAGACCGGCUUACAGGCAGAGUUAUAA